RNAcentral lists this ribosomal RNA (286 nucleotides) under uncultured bacterium. RNAcentral's name for it is "partial 16S ribosomal RNA". It matches the Rfam family "Bacterial small subunit ribosomal RNA", at positions 30 to 300 of the family's 1533-position model. The record is from RNAcentral.
AUUGAACGCUGGCGGCAGGCCUAACACAUGCAAGUCGAGCGGUAGCACAGAGAAGCUUGCUUCUUGGGUGACGAGCGGCGGACGGGUGAGUAACGCGUGGGAAUCUACCUGGUAGUGGGGGACAACAGUCGGAAACGACUGCUAAUACGCAUACGCCCUUCCGGGGUAAGGUAGGGGAGGUCUUCGGUACCGUCCACGCUAUCAGAUGAGCCGCCGUCGGAUUAGUCUUGUUGGUGAGGUAAAGGACGUCACCAAAGGCGGAUGAUCCGUAGCUGGUCUGAGAGGA